AGAGAAUUUGCGUGAGCUGAUCUGUAGCAGUGCGGAAGGUGAGCUUGGCUGCCGGCAGCAGCUCCUUUGGCUGAUCUGCGGCGAUGCAGAAGUUGGGUUGGAAAAAAGCACGACCGGCUGCUCUGAAGUGGGUCGUAGGGAGAGCUUCGUAAGAGAUAGGGAGGGAGCUCUAUUGGCCCGUGCAUGACAUCCAACCCAAUGGCAUCAUGCCCUGGUAGGCAUGGUUGCAUGGCCACGGGGAGAAUGGAGCAAGUAGCGUGUGAGGAGUUUAAGAAAUGGGGACAAGGGACAGUUUAGUUAAUUAAGUCUAUGUUAGUUUCAAGUUUUAUCCUUGUUGCAGUAAAAAAUUAAGGUUGG
Long non-coding RNA from Triticum dicoccoides, 357 nucleotides. RefSeq lists it as uncharacterized. Lineage: Eukaryota; Viridiplantae; Streptophyta; Magnoliopsida; Poales; Poaceae. The record is from RefSeq and is a predicted model, not a curated record. The transcript is spliced from 3 exons.